CAGUCGCCGCGGUAAUACGUAGGGUGCGAGCGUUAAUCGGAAUUACUGGGCGUAAAGCGUGCGCAGGCGGUUGUGUAAGACAGGUGUGAAAUCCCCGGGCUUAACCUGGGAACUGCGCUUGUGACUGCACAGCUAGAGUAUGGCAGAGGGGGGUGGAAUUCCACGUGUAGCAGUGAAUGCGUAGAGAUGUGGAGGAACACCGAUGGCGAAGGCAGCCCCCUGGGCCAAUACUGACGCUCAUGCACGAAAGCGUGGGGAGCAAACAGGAUUAGAUACCCCCGUAGUCCCUGUCUCUUAUACC
RNAcentral lists this ribosomal RNA (301 nucleotides) under uncultured bacterium. RNAcentral's name for it is "partial 16S ribosomal RNA". It matches the Rfam family "Bacterial small subunit ribosomal RNA", at positions 509 to 808 of the family's 1533-position model. The record is from RNAcentral.